Molecule: ribosomal RNA, 454 nt
Filed under: uncultured bacterium
Lineage: Bacteria
Description: SSU rRNA
Rfam family: Bacterial small subunit ribosomal RNA
Source: RNAcentral
AGAACGAACGCUGGCGGCAUGCCUAACACAUGCAAGUCGAACGUGAUCCAGGCUUCGGCCUGGUGAAAGUGGCAGACGGGUGAGUAACGCGUGGGAACCUGCCCUGUGGUAGGGAAUAACCGUGGGAAACUGCGGCUAAUACCCUAUGAGUCCUUCGGGAGAAAGAUUUAUCGCCAUAGGAGGGGCCCGCGUCGGAUUAGGUAGUUGGUGGGGUAACGGCCUACCAAGCCUUCGAUCCGUAGCUGGUCUGAGAGGAUGAUCAGCCACACUGGGACUGAGAUACGGCCCAGACUCCUACGGGAGGCAGCAGUGGGGAAUAUUGGACAAUGGGGGCAACCCUGAUCCAGCAAUGCCGCGUGGAUGAUGAAGGCCUUCGGGUUGUAAAGUCCUUUCGGCGGGGAAGAUGAUGACGGUACCCGCAGAAGAGCCCCGGCUAACUCGUGCCAGCAGCCGC